GCCUUCCUAGCUCAGUGGUAGAGCGCGUCACUAGUAAUGACGAGGUCGUCAGUGAGUAACACCCCCAUUCGAAGCACGUAGGAGACGACGACGCUGACGUGCCGUGGAGGUUCAAUUCUGGCGGAAGGCA
This is a non-coding RNA of Alternaria sp. BMP 2799, 130 nucleotides long. NCBI's taxonomy places the organism in Eukaryota, Fungi, Ascomycota, Dothideomycetes, Pleosporales, Pleosporaceae. The record is from the annotation of a GenBank genome assembly.